Molecule: ribosomal RNA, 484 nt
Filed under: uncultured bacterium
Lineage: Bacteria
Description: partial 16S ribosomal RNA
Rfam family: Bacterial small subunit ribosomal RNA
Source: RNAcentral
AGUGAACGCUGGCGGCAGGCCUAACACAUGCAAGUCGAGCGGCAGCGCGGGGGCAACCCUGGCGGCGAGCGGCGGACGGGUGAGGAAUUCGUCGGAAUCUGCCUUUUUGUGGGGGAUAACGUAGGGAAACUUACGCUAAUACCGCAUACGUCCUACGGGAGAAAGUGGGGGACCGCAAGGCCUCACGCAGAAAGAUGAGCCGACGACCGAUUAGCUAGUUGGUGGGGUAAAGGCCCACCAAGGCGACGAUCGGUAGCUGGUCUGAGAGGAUGAUCAGCCACACUGGGACUGAGAAACGGCCCAGACUCCUACGGGAGGCAGCAGUGGGGAAUAUUGGACAAUGGGCGCAAGCCUGAUCCAGCCAUGCCGCGUGUGUGAAGAAGGCCUUCGGGUUGUAAAGCACUUUUGUCCGGAAAGAAAUCCCUGGAGCUAAUACCUUCGGGGGAUGACGGUACCGGAAGAAUAAGCACCGGCUAACUUCGUG